Non-coding RNA from Paramuricea clavata, 788 nucleotides. NCBI's taxonomy places the organism in Eukaryota, Metazoa, Cnidaria, Anthozoa, Malacalcyonacea, Plexauridae. The record is from the annotation of a GenBank genome assembly.
CAACAAUGGCGUCUCUUGAACCACGCAUUUGGCUUCCUAAUACAGAAAACUUUUUUCGUGAAUUGGUUGAUUUAAUAAGAAAUGCUGAACAAAGUCGCACUCAUUGUGACUCGCCAGACUUUUAUUGUCGUAGAUUAGAAGAGUAUGAACGCACAUUGAGUGUUUUAACAACAAGAAUCACCGAAUCAUACACAACGGAGCAGUUUUUAAUCAACAAUCUACAUAUACUAUGUAUUUUAUAUUUAAAUAGUUUACGAAAUGAAUUCGACGUUAUUGUUGAAAAUUAUGAACGGACCUCUGAGCGCUUUUCACUAGAAGAGUCUUACGAUCGUGCGGUUUGUACGGCGGAAAGAAACGGGCUCGUUGGUAGGCCAAGAAUACAAGUCACAGUCAGAAGAGCAGUUAACCACAUUGCUUUUUAAGUUUAGAUAUAGGUAAUGAGAACCAUAUUGGUGUCCUAGUAAUAAAUUUAUGCCACAAUAGUCCCUAAAUGUUAGAUAAAAAUGUAGUGUGAAAUAUGAUAGUGUGAUGGCCUCGUGUUGUUGGCACAAUUUAUGCUUGUGAAAAUGUUGUAUUUGAUAAGCCUGAGAAUAAAAAAUAAAAACCACUUGUAUAUGUAUAAAUGUGAACCUAAGAAAUAUAAGUGUAGGUGUAGACUUUUGGAACUCAUAAAAUAUUAAAAUUGGAGAUGCGUGUGUGAAAUUGUAUCGGUCAAAUAUCCUGUGGUGUAAAAAAAUUUGAUCAUACUUGAAUCAAGGAGUAGAUCUCGCUGUACUAAAAAGCUUGUA